This 81-nucleotide transfer RNA is filed under the name Candidatus Pacearchaeota archaeon. Its description in RNAcentral is "tRNA-Ser". It matches the Rfam family "tRNA". From Rfam's summary of the family: Transfer RNA (tRNA) molecules are approximately 80 nucleotides in length. Their secondary structure includes four short double-helical elements and three loops (D, anti-codon, and T loops). The record is from RNAcentral. Lineage: Archaea; Nanobdellati.
GCCCUGUUGGCACAAUGGUACUGCGCUAGCUUGGAAAGCUAGGCCCUUCGGGGCUCCCAGGUUCGAUUCCUGGACAGGGCG